UCCAGACUCCUACGGGAGGCAGCAGUGGGGGAUAUUGCACAAUGGGGGGAACCCUGAUGCAGCGACGCCGCGUGGGUGAAGAAGCGCCUCGGCGCGUAAAGCCCUGUCAGCAGGGAAGAAAAUGACGGUACCUGAGUAAGAAGCCCCGGCUAACUACGUGCCAGCAGCCGCGGUAAUACGUAGGGGGCAAGCGUUAUCCGGAUUUACUGGGUGUAAAGGGAGCGUAGACGGCAGUGCAAGUCUGGAGUGAAAGGCGGGGGCUCAACCCCCGGACUGCUCUGGAAACUGUACGGCUGGAGUGCAGGAGAGGUAAGUGGAAUUCCUAGUGUAGCGGUGAAAUGCGUAGAUAUUAGGAGGAACACCGGUGGCGAAGGCGGUCUGCUGGACUGCAACUGACGUUGAGGCCCGAAAGCGUGGGGAGCAAACAGGAUUAGAUACCCUUGUAU
RNAcentral lists this ribosomal RNA (446 nucleotides) under uncultured bacterium. RNAcentral describes it as "bacterial SSU rRNA". It matches the Rfam family "Bacterial small subunit ribosomal RNA", at positions 330 to 793 of the family's 1533-position model. The record is from RNAcentral.